UACGUAGGGGGCGAGCGUUGUCCGGAAUCAUUGGGCGUAAAGCGCGUGUAGGCGGCUCGAUAAGUCCGGUGUGAAACCUUGGGGCUCAACCCCAAGCCUGCACUGGAUACUGCCGAGCUAGAGUCCGGGAGGGGAGAGCGGAAUUCCUAGUGUAGCGGUGAAAUGCGCAGAUAUCAGGAAGAACACCAAUGGCGAAAGCAGCUCUCUGGGACGGUACUGACGCUGAGACGCGAAAGCGUGGGGAGCGAACAGG
This 253-nucleotide ribosomal RNA is filed under the name uncultured bacterium. Its description in RNAcentral is "partial 16S ribosomal RNA". It matches the Rfam family "Bacterial small subunit ribosomal RNA", at positions 524 to 776 of the family's 1533-position model. The record is from RNAcentral.